RNAcentral lists this ribosomal RNA (423 nucleotides) under uncultured bacterium. RNAcentral's name for it is "bacterial SSU rRNA". It matches the Rfam family "Bacterial small subunit ribosomal RNA", at positions 362 to 776 of the family's 1533-position model. The record is from RNAcentral.
UCUUCCGCAAUGGACGAAAGUCUGACGGAGCAACGCCGCGGGAGUGAUGAAGGCCUUCGGGUCGUAAAACUCUGUUGUUAGGGAAGAACAAGGGCUAGUGGAAUAAGCUGGCACCUUGACGGUACCUAACCAGAAAGCGACGGCUAACUACGUGCCAGCAGCCGUGGUAAUACGUAGGUGGCAAGCGUUAUCCGGAAUUAUUGGGCGUAAAGCGCGCGCAGGUGGUGUCUUAAGUCUGAUGUGAAAGCCCGCGGCUCAACCGUGGAGGGUCAUUGGAAACUGGGAGACUUGAGUGCAGAAGAGGAAAGUGGAAUUCCAUGUGUAGCGGUGAAAUGCGUAGAGAUAUGGAGGAACACCAGUGGCGAAGGCGACUUUCUGGUCUGUAACUGACACUGAGGCGCGAAAGCGUGGGGAGCAAACAGG